UCACACAAUGUCAGUUAACCGUGUUUCGUGUAAAAAAUGAUGUUGAACUAAGUUGACCGAUUCAAUGGGUGGCCUAACGUAUUCGAAACGAGAUGGAUUUUUUUCAGUAGACCUGUUUAAUUACCAUGACUAUAUCAAACGGUUAAAUUUUUAUUUUCACAUAUUUAUGACUUCGGAGAGUCACAUGCCUACUAAUGUGAUAUAACUUAUUUAGUAGGAUAUAUGCAAGUGUACAGCUUUGUGAACCAAUUAUACAAAGAAAACAAAAUUUUCAAAAUUUUUGUGAAAUAAGAUGUGAUCGGAAUAAUGAAAUACGACUAUGGUUGAAAAAUUACGUAUAUCGGGUAACGUCUGGGUCCCGAUAGAAGCGGUCAACCAUUUUUACGCUUAAUAUAACCUAUGGAGCCCUAUCGUCGGGACGUAAACGUCUCCAAAUUUUUACAUGGGUAAUUACGUCACAUCUAUGUGAGAGUUUAACGUGUGGAAGGAUCGACCAAAUUUGGUCACAGAGAGGCAGUUAAGAGCGUUUCCGUGUGAUAAGUGACGAUGGAGUAGGGUUGACCGCUUCGAUCNNNNNNNNNNNNNNNNNNNNCGUAGUGUAGCACCGCAUUAAGGCGUGACGUGAGCGUAGUAGCCCUAUAUAGACCCAUGAAUUUAUAUAGGGAGUAUGGACGAGUGUAAAUACAUACAUAUAUUAUAGAGUCUAAGAGGCUCGAUAUUUUAUGGGAUAAAAGUUUUAUCGCUUGCAGCAUGCAUUCGAUUUUUCCUUAGAAAUUAAUUUGGGGAAACAUAAAUAUUUUAUUUAUUAUUUUAUUUUUGUCCACUCACUCUAACGUUAUUAAAUGUUUUCCCCUGGGCCCUUCGUUUUAAAUUGCCCAGUCUGCAGAGUUCGGGUUGGAUCUAGUAGGAGACGAGGCAUAGUCACCCGCAUUUCUGCCAGUUUUCGCCAGUAGGUUACCUGUUCAACCUACUCGUGUUUUCUUGCUUCCGCUUGUGUUUAAUAGCUCUGAAUACUUUGGGAUUAUUGUAUAUUAUGUGAGGUUCGGAAGUGUUGAAUUAAGAGUGUAAUAUGAAAUUUUCGAGUUAGGGUUGUCCAUCUGCAAGGGAGAUUUUCUUAAUCUUUUCAGUAAAUUUUCCUUGGAGGUGGUCCCCGCACGACUUACUCUGGGUUUCAAGGUGAAAUUCGGGGUGGGUCGUGUCAAUAAUGAUCACAUCAGACGGUCAAAUUUUUAUUUUGUGAAUUUUAGUCAUUGGAUUACAACGUGCCUACUAAUGUAGUAUAACUUGUUUAAUAGGUUAUAGACAAUUGUACAACUUUGUAAACCAACUAUACAGAUAAAGAAAAAUUUUAAAAAAAACUCAUGGAAUAAGAUGUGAUCGAAAUAAUGAAAUACAAUAAUGGUUGAAAAAUCACGUACAUCGGGUAACGUCUAGGUCCCGAUAGAAGCGGUCAACCAUUUUUACGCUUAAUAUAUCCUAUGAGAGCCCUAUCGUCGGGACGUAAACGUCUCCAAAUUUUUACAUGGGUGGUUACGUCUCAUCUAUGUGAAAGUUUAACGUGUGGAAGGAUCGAUUAAACUAGGUCAUAAAAAGGUAGGUAAGAGCGUUUCCGUGUGAUAAAUGACGAUGAAUUAGGGUUGACCACUUCGAUUGAGCCCCGAACGUUGCCGAAUACAAUUGAAAUUAAUACCAUAGCCAUGUUUCACUAUAAUGAUCACAUCAAACGGUCAAAUUUUCAUUAUGUGAAUUUUAAUCAUUAGAAUUGCAACAUGCCUACUAAUGUGUUAUAACUUGUUUAAUAUGUUAUAUUCACAUGUACAACUUUGUCAACCAACUAUACAGAGAAAGCAAAAAUUUCAAAAAUUUCAUGAAAUAAGAUUUGAUUGGAAUAAUGAAAUACGACUAUGGUUGAAAAUCACGUACAUCGGGUAACGUCUGGGUUCCAUUAGAAGCGGUCAACCUUUUUUUAUGCUUACGGGAGCCCUAUCGUUGGGACGUAAACGUCUCCAAAUUUUUUACAUGGAUGGUUAAGUCUCAUCUAUAUGAGAGUUUAACGUGUGGAAUGAUCGACCAAACUAGGUCACAGAGAGGCAGAUAAGAGCGUAUCCGUGUGAUAAGUGACGAUGGAUUAAGAUUGACCGCUUUGAUCGAGCCCCGAACGUUGCCGAAUAUAGUUGAAUUUAAUACUAUAACCAUGUUUCACUAUAAUGAUCACAUAAAACGGUCGAAUUUUCAUUUUGUG
RNAcentral lists this long non-coding RNA (2242 nucleotides) under Fragaria vesca (wild strawberry). Its description in RNAcentral is "long non-coding RNA (FVES_LNC000759)". Lineage: Eukaryota; Viridiplantae; Streptophyta; Magnoliopsida; Rosales; Rosaceae. The record is from RNAcentral.